UUAAGCGACUAAGCGUACACGGUGGAUGCCCUGGCAGUCAGAGGCGAUGAAGGACGUGCUAAUCUGCGAAAAGCGUCGGUAAGGUGAUAUGAACCGUUAUAACCGGCGAUGUCCGAAUGGGGAAACCCAGUGCAAUUCGUUGCACUAUCGUUAACUGAAUACAUAGGUUAACGAGGCGAACCGGGGGAACUGAAACAUCUAAGUACCCCGAGGAAAAGAAAUCAACCGAGAUUCCCCCAGUAGCGGCGAGCGAACGGGGAGCAGCCCAGAGUCUGAAUCAGCUUGUGUGUUAGUGGAACGGUCUGGAAAGUCCGACGGUACAGGGUGAUAGUCCCGUACACCAAAAUGCACAGGCUGUGAACUCGAAGAGUAGGGCGGGACACGUGGUAUCCUGUCUGAAUAUGGGGGGACCAUCCUCCAAGGCUAAAUACUCCUGACUGACCGAUAGUGAACCAGUACCGUGAGGGAAAGGCGAAAAGAACCCCGGCGAGGGGAGUGAAAAAGAACCUGAAACCGUGUACGUACAAGCAGUGGGAGCACCUUCGGGUGUGACUGCGUACCUUUUGUAUAAUGGGUCAGCGACUUAUAUUCUGUAGCAAGGUUAACCGUAUAGGGGAGCCGCAGGGAAACCGAGUCUUAACUGGGCGUUAAGUUGCAGGGUAUAGACCCGAAACCCGGUGAUCUAGCCAUGGGCAGGUUGAAGGUUGGGUAACACUAACUGGAGGACCGAACCGACUAAUGUUGAAAAAUUAGCGGAUGACUUGUGGCUGGGGGUGAAAGGCCAAUCAAACCGGGAGAUAGCUGGUUCUCCCCGAAAGCUAUUUAGGUAGCGCCUCGUGAACUCAUCUUCGGGGGUAGAGCACUGUUUCGGCUAGGGGGUCAUCCCGACUUACCAACCCGAUGCAAACUACGAAUACCGAAGAAUGUUAUCACGGGAGACACACGGCGGGUGCUAACGUCCGUCGUGAAGAGGGAAACAACCCAGACCGCCAGCUAAGGUCCCAAAGUCAUGGUUAAGUGGGAAACGAUGUGGGAAGGCACAGACAGCCAGGAUGUUGGCUUAGAAGCAGCCAUCAUUUAAAGAAAGCGUAAUAGCUCACUGGUCGAGUCGGCCUGCGCGGAAGAUGUAACGGGGCUAAACCAUGCACCGAAGCUGCGGCAGCGACACGAUGUGUUGUUGGGUAGGGGAGCGUUCUGUAAGCCUGCGAAGGUGACCUGUGAGGGUUGCUGGAGGUAUCAGAAGUGCGAAUGCUGACAUAAGUAACGAUAAAGCGGGUGAAAAGCCCGCUCGCCGGAAGACCAAGGGUUCCUGUCCAACGUUAAUCGGGGCAGGGUGAGUCGACCCCUAAGGCGAGGCCGAAAGGCGUAGUCGAUGGGAAACAGGUUAAUAUUCCUGUACUUGGUGUUACUGCGAAGGGGGGACGGAGAAGGCUAUGUUAGCCGGGCGACGGUUGUCCCGGUUUAAGCAUGUAGGCUGGUUGUCCAGGCAAAUCCGGAUAAUCAAGGCUGAGGUGUGAUGACGAGGCACUACGGUGCUGAAGUAACAAAUGCCCUGCUUCCAGGAAAAGCCUCUAAGCAUCAGGUAACAUCAAAUCGUACCCCAAACCGACACAGGUGGUCAGGUAGAGAAUACCAAGGCGCUUGAGAGAACUCGGGUGAAGGAACUAGGCAAAAUGGUGCCGUAACUUCGGGAGAAGGCACGCUGGUGUGUAGGUGAAGCCCCUGCGGGUGGAGCUGAGACCAGUCGAAGAUACCAGCUGGCUGCAACUGUUUAUUAAAAACACAGCACUGUGCAAACACGAAAGUGGACGUAUACGGUGUGACGCCUGCCCGGUGCCGGAAGGUUAAUUGAUGGGGUUAUCCGUAAGGAGAAGCUCUUGAUCGAAGCCCCGGUAAACGGCGGCCGUAACUAUAACGGUCCUAAGGUAGCGAAAUUCCUUGUCGGGUAAGUUCCGACCUGCACGAAUGGCGUAAUGAUGGCCAGGCUGUCUCCACCCGAGACUCAGUGAAAUUGAACUCGCUGUGAAGAUGCAGUGUACCCGCGGCAAGACGGAAAGACCCCGUGAACCUUUACUAUAGCUUGACACUGAACAUUGAGCCUUGAUGUGUAGGAUAGGUGGGAGGCUUUGAAGCGUGGACGCCAGUCUGCGUGGAGCCAACCUUGAAAUACCACCCUUUAAUGUUUGAUGUUCUAACGUUGGCCCCUGACCGGGGUUGCGGACAGUGUCUGGUGGGUAGUUUGACUGGGGCGGUCUCCUCCCAAAGCGUAACGGAGGAGCACGAAGGUUAGCUAAUCCUGGUCGGACAUCAGGAGGUUAGUGCAAUGGCAUAAGCUAGCUUGACUGCGAGCGUGACGGCGCGAGCAGGUGCGAAAGCAGGUCAUAGUGAUCCGGUGGUUCUGAAUGGAAGGGCCAUCGCUCAACGGAUAAAAGGUACUCCGGGGAUAACAGGCUGAUACCGCCCAAGAGUUCAUAUCGACGGCGGUGUUUGGCACCUCGAUGUCGGCUCAUCACAUCCUGGGGCUGAAGUAGGUCCCAAGGGUAUGGCUGUUCGCCAUUUAAAGUGGUACGCGAGCUGGGUUUAGAACGUCGUGAGACAGUUCGGUCCCUAUCUGCCGUGGGCGCUGGAGAAUUGAGGGGGGCUGCUCCUAGUACGAGAGGACCGGAGUGGACGCAUCACUGGUGUUCGGGUUGUCAUGCCAAUGGCACUGCCCGGUAGCUAAAUGCGGAAGAGAUAAGUGCUGAAAGCAUCUAAGCACGAAACUUGCCCCGAGAUGAGUUCUCCCUGAGACUUUAAGUCUCCUGAAGGAACGUUGAAGACGACGACGUUGAUAGGCCGGGUGUGUAAGCGCAGCGAUGCGUUGAGCUAACCGGUACUAAUGAACCGUGAGGCUUAACCUU
RNAcentral lists this ribosomal RNA (2900 nucleotides) under Klebsiella pneumoniae. RNAcentral describes it as "bacterial LSU rRNA". It matches the Rfam family "Bacterial large subunit ribosomal RNA". Lineage: Bacteria; Pseudomonadati; Pseudomonadota; Gammaproteobacteria; Enterobacterales; Enterobacteriaceae. The record is from RNAcentral.